GCCUGUGUUGGUGGCUUGCUCUUCAGCAGCUCCCCUGACCAGGUUCUCCUUAUCUCUCUGCACAGACCAUCAGUGCUCUGCAGUGUAAAGAAUGUUUUCUUCCCCCUGUGUCCAGCGAGAUUCCUGACUCUCAUCACUCAUGGCAGCCCUCAGCAGUGUCCCUGAAGGGUUUGCAGAUCACCAGGGGAGCAAACCCCAGGAUCUGCUGCUCCACCACGAAGGGGGAUGGAUGAAAUGUGACCCAGCUGCUCCUGGAGCAUCUCCCACUGGUGCACAAGAGUCACCAGAUGGAAUUGAAUCAUUGUCUAGGAUUUAGGAGUGAUAUAUGCAAUCCUAAACCACUCCAGAUUGUUACAGGCGUGACUGUCCUGAUCCUGGUGAAGCAAACAGAAGAGCUUGGAAGAGCCAAUGUAUUUUAUAGCACUGGAGUGGAAGUGGAUCUGGUGAAUCUCAUGUGGACAUUUUGCCCACAUGGAUCCUGUGUGUCCCCAUCAUUUUGGAUCACCAUCACUCACAGUGCCAGGUGAGAGACAGGCAGGCACUCAGGAGUCACCUGAAUCUAAAAGAUUUAGCACUUACAGUUCCCCCCUCCCAGUUCUAUAUCCAUCACCCCUUUAUUCUAGACUUGUUUUCUUGCUCUUAAUUGAAAUAGAAUUUCCAUCCCAGCUUCAGAAUCCUGGCUUAGCAAACACCAAAUACUGAAACACCCUCUACUAAAAAAUAUUCACAGUUUAGCUGGUGAGUUCAAUCACAGACAGGAAACUGAAACAUUGAUCAGAUCCACAAAUGUUCCUUUACAAAGGAACUGUUCCAAUAUUAAAAACAUAAACAGUGAUUUCCUCCUGAAGAGUGUAUUUGUACUAACAGAAUUAAUUUAAUAUUUGCAGUGUUACAUAACCUUUGUUCUUUUGCCUGUGAGCACGCUGUAAAUAUGAG
Molecule: long non-coding RNA, 936 nt
Filed under: Zonotrichia albicollis (white-throated sparrow)
Lineage: Eukaryota; Metazoa; Chordata; Aves; Passeriformes; Passerellidae
Description: lncRNA (ENSZALG00000009406.1)
Source: RNAcentral